Long non-coding RNA from Dalotia coriaria, 814 nucleotides. RefSeq lists it as uncharacterized. The transcript is spliced from 2 exons. The record is from RefSeq and is a predicted model, not a curated record. Lineage: Eukaryota; Metazoa; Arthropoda; Insecta; Coleoptera; Staphylinidae.
GUCGCGUUGAAAUAGUCGGCGAGAAAAUGCGCCGGCGAGCAGAUAUCCGCCUCCAGCGAUCCGAUUAUUGGCACGUUGAUGGUGCGCAACAUCUGUAGCACUCUCGUCGGAUCGUCGCACACAUCUGAAAUUUCACGUUUUAUUGAUUUCAUUCCGGUUCGCAAGAAACUUAUAUGAAAAGAAAAGAAUAGGAAUAUGUAAUGGAAUAUUCAACAUGCACUCACGUACGAGUAUAAACCAUUGAACAAAUUUUAAUAAAUUUUAGAUAGUCUGGAUUUUGGGAAACUUAAUAGGGAGACUACUUUUUGUUGCAAAAAUAAAAUUUUGAGAAAACAAAAUAGAAACUGAGAAAUUGUUAAAAAUAUAUAUAAAACUAGCUUUUGCCCGCGACGUCGGCCCGGUAGUGUUUAAUAAAAAUGUAAUUCGUUUUUACUCUCUUGUUCUAGACAUAGUAUGUGUCAAUUCUAUCAAUAAGAUUAGUAAUUUUAUUUUGAAGAAAUUAAUUGUAUAAAGAAUGGCUAAAAAUGCACUUCAGCGCGUCAUCUCGGAUUCAACUAUUUAACUAUAACUAUGAUUGAAUCCCAAUGCCAACUAUAGAAAAGGGCUGUUUUCCCGGCAAUUAUUCGAAGUUUUCUCGCCGUAAAAACCAUCCUUGGACUUCAACACACAUUUAAAAAACAAGAAUUGGCCAAAUUGGUCUUGGAGUUGUUGAGUUAUGCGCUUACCAACAGAUUUUGCAAUUCAUUUUUAUAUUAUAAAUGUAGUGCAAUAUGAUUUGUUUAAGAAAAUUAAACUGCAAACUUCAGAAAACCUC